UACGAAGGGGGCUAGCGUUGUUCGGAAUUACUGGGCGUAAAGGGCGUGUAGGCGGCCCGUUAAGACAGGUGUGAAAUUCCUGGGCUCAACCCAGGACGUGCGCCUGUGACUGGCGGGCUUGAGUCCGGGAGAGGAUGGUGGAACUCCCAGUGUAGAGGUGAAAUUCGUAGAUAUUGGGAAGAACACCCGUGGCGAAGGCGGCUACCUGGACCGGUUCUGACGCUGAGGCGCGAAAGCGUGGGUAGCAAACAGG
This 253-nucleotide ribosomal RNA is filed under the name uncultured bacterium. RNAcentral's name for it is "partial 16S ribosomal RNA". It matches the Rfam family "Bacterial small subunit ribosomal RNA", at positions 524 to 776 of the family's 1533-position model. The record is from RNAcentral.